CUGACUAUAUUCUUUUUACUGAUGUGCUCAUUUUGUGCCAGUUGACUUGUAGUGAUCUUUUGAAUUUGCUUUGUAAUAUUCAUAUUUACCGUUCCUUUUUUGCUGACUGUCAGGAUUAUCAGGACACCUACAAUCAAAAUAGCCAGCUGAUAUUACUGAAAAUAAAAUUUGGCAAAUCUCCCUCUUGCCAUAUCUGUCAGAAACAUAAGAAUGGUAAA
This is a non-coding RNA of Pelobates cultripes (western spadefoot toad), 218 nucleotides long. The record is from the annotation of a GenBank genome assembly. Lineage: Eukaryota; Metazoa; Chordata; Amphibia; Anura; Pelobatidae.